UACGUAUGGAGCAAGCGUUAUCCGGAUUUACUGGGUGUAAAGGGAGCGUAGACGGUCAAGCAAGUCUGAUGUGAAGGGUGUGGGCUCAACCCGCAAACUGCAUUGGAAACUGUUUAACUGGGGUGUCGGAGAGGUAAGUGGAAUUCCUAGUGUAGAGGUGAAAUGCGUAGAUAUUAGGAGGAGCACCAGCGGCGAAGGCGGCUUACUGGACGAUAACUGACGUUGAGGCUCGAAAGCGUGGGGAGCAAAC
RNAcentral lists this ribosomal RNA (250 nucleotides) under uncultured prokaryote. RNAcentral's name for it is "partial 16S ribosomal RNA". It matches the Rfam family "Bacterial small subunit ribosomal RNA", at positions 524 to 773 of the family's 1533-position model. The record is from RNAcentral.